Homo sapiens (human) is the source of this 229-nucleotide long non-coding RNA. RefSeq lists it as uncharacterized. The record is from RefSeq and is a predicted model, not a curated record. The transcript has 3 exons. NCBI's taxonomy places the organism in Eukaryota, Metazoa, Chordata, Mammalia, Primates, Hominidae.
GGCGCACCAGGGGCCUGGCGACAAGACGACACGCCGCGGAAAAGCCACUGAGGACACGAGAAGAAGGCAGCCAUCCCCAAGCAGGAAGAGACACUCCACAGGAACUGAACUUGCCACCACCCUGAUCUCGAACUUCUAGUUUCCGUAACUAUGAGUUAUAGCAGAAGGUACACUUGUGUUCAAGACAACUCGGCAAAGCCUGUGGUGAAGAGCGACAGUGAGAGAGAGG